AACGAACGCUGGCGGCAUGCCUAACACAUGCAAGUCGAACGAAGGCUUCGGCCUUAGUGGCGCACGGGUGCGUAACGCGUGGGAAUCUGCCCUUUGGUUCGGAAUAACAGCUGGAAACGGCUGCUAAUACCGGAUGAUGACGAAAGUCCAAAGAUUUAUCGCCAGAGGAUGAGCCCGCGUUGGAUUAGGUAGUUGGUGGGGUAAAGGCCUACCAAGCCGACGAUCCAUAGCUGGUCUGAGAGGAUGAUCAGCCACACUGGGACUGAGACACGGCCCAGACUCCUACGGGAGGCAGCAGUGGGGAAUAUUGGACAAUGGGCGCAAGCCUGAUCCAGCAAUGCCGCGUGAGUGAUGAAGGUCCUAGGGUUGUAAAGCUCUUUUACCCGGGAAGAUAAUGACUGUACCGGGAGAAUAAGCCCCGGCCAACUCCGUG
This 433-nucleotide ribosomal RNA is filed under the name uncultured bacterium. RNAcentral describes it as "partial 16S ribosomal RNA". It matches the Rfam family "Bacterial small subunit ribosomal RNA", at positions 29 to 507 of the family's 1533-position model. The record is from RNAcentral.